This 220-nucleotide long non-coding RNA is filed under the name Daucus carota (carrot). Its description in RNAcentral is "long non-coding RNA (DCAR_LNC004608)". Lineage: Eukaryota; Viridiplantae; Streptophyta; Magnoliopsida; Apiales; Apiaceae. The record is from RNAcentral.
UAGUGUCUAGGUUGAGGGGGUCUGAUUCUGUAUCACUUUCACUAGGUUCAUCUUGUACAAAUUGUACAACUCUGGGAGUUAAAGACAUGUCAGGAGGCAUGUUGUCAGUUACAUCUUCAACAAUAACUGACAGUCCUGACAUUUUACUUUCAUCGUGAUCCUUCGAAUGAACAGAGUCAACUAAUGUGGUGGAAUCUUUUAUUUCAGCAUCAUGUUGUCU